RNAcentral lists this ribosomal RNA (495 nucleotides) under uncultured bacterium. RNAcentral describes it as "partial 16S ribosomal RNA". It matches the Rfam family "Bacterial small subunit ribosomal RNA", at positions 28 to 507 of the family's 1533-position model. The record is from RNAcentral.
GAUGAACGCUGGCGGCGUGCCUAAUACAUGCAAGUAGAACGCUGAAGGAGGAGCUUGCUCUUCUGGAUGAGUUGCGAACGGGUGAGUAACGCGUAGGUAACCUGCCUGGUAGCGGGGGGUAACUAUUGGACACGAUAGCUAAUACCGCAUGACAACAGUUAUUGCAUGAUAACUGUUUAAAAGGGGCAACUGCUCCACUACCAGAUGGACCUGCGUUGUAUUAGCUAGUUGGUGAGGUAACGGCUCACCAAGGCGACGAGACAUAACCGACCUGAGAGGGGGAUCGGCCACACUGGGACUGGGACACGGCCCAGACUCCUACGGGUGGCAGCAGUAGGGGAUCUUCGGGAAUGGACGGAAGGCUGACCGAGCAACGCCGCGUGAGUGAAGAAGGGUUUCGGAUCGUAAAGCCCUGGUGGAAGAGAAGAACGAGUGGGAGAGUGGAAAGUGCACACUGUGACGGUAUCUUAACAGAAAGCGACGGCUAACUACGUG